This 310-nucleotide unclassified non-coding RNA is filed under the name plant metagenome. Its description in RNAcentral is "partial contains 5.8S ribosomal RNA, internal transcribed spacer 2, and large subunit ribosomal RNA". The stretch from base 1 to 105 matches the Rfam family "5.8S ribosomal RNA", at positions 50 to 154 of the family's 154-position model. The record is from RNAcentral.
GAAAUGCGAUAAGUAGUGUGAAUUGCAGAAUUCAGUGAAUCAUCGAAUCUUUGAACGCACAUUGCGCCCCUUGGUAUUCCAUGGGGCAUGCCUGUUCGAGCGUCAUCUACACCCUCAAGCUCUGCUUGGUGUUGGGUGUUUGUCCCCGUCUCCGCGCGUGGACUCGCCCCAAAGUGAUUGGCAGCCGGCGUACUGGUCCCGGAGCGCAGCACAUGUCGCGCAAACGAGUGCCUUGGUACGGCGGCGUCCAUAAGCCCCUCUCUCACGCUCUUGACCUCGGAUCAGGUAGGGAUACCCGCUGAACUUAAGC